Non-coding RNA from Alligator mississippiensis (American alligator), 621 nucleotides. The record is from the annotation of a RefSeq genome assembly. NCBI's taxonomy places the organism in Eukaryota, Metazoa, Chordata, Crocodylia, Alligatoridae.
CGUGGAAAAUUCUAUACCUCCAAUUUUACACCAUAGUAGGGCAGGGAAGAAUGAGGCCACGGGUCUCUCAUCUGUGUCCAUGGCCCUGUCAGAUGGGCGUGUGUGGUGUGUUUACAGGAGCCAGUGAAUGGGAAGUAGAUUUGUAUGAAGGCACCGUUCUCAGCUUUGGGGCUUUAAGGAGGAAUCGGGAUGUCUCUGCCAGGAACAUGUUGGCCUCAGGAAGCCGAGCUGGUCUGAAGUCUUGCCAUGGCCUGGACCCCUCUCCUGCUUGUGGUGCUCGCAUACUGCUCAGGUUCUAUUGCUGAGAGCAUGACAACUCAGCCGCCUUCGGUGUCCGUCUGUCCCGGACAAACUGCUACACUCACCUGCACAGCAAAUACCAUUAGUGGUUUCGGAGCAAGUUGGUACCAACAGAAACCUGGGAGUGCCCCCCUGAUCAUUAUGGGCAAUGAUAAUAAGAGACCUUCCGGUAUCUUGAACCGGUUCUCUGGUUCCAAGUCUGAGAACACGGCCACAUUGACCAUCACUGGAGUCCAAGCCGAGGACGAAGCUGAUUACUACUGCUUUGCUCUUGUUGGUGGCACUACUACUCCACACAAUGACAGUGCAAUGGGGAAGUGA